Molecule: ribosomal RNA, 1466 nt
Filed under: Lactiplantibacillus plantarum
Lineage: Bacteria; Bacillati; Bacillota; Bacilli; Lactobacillales; Lactobacillaceae
Description: bacterial SSU rRNA
Rfam family: Bacterial small subunit ribosomal RNA
Source: RNAcentral
CGGGGGCCCUAUACAUGCAAGUCGAACGAACUCUGGUAUUGAUUGGUGCUUGCAUCAUGAUUUACAUUUGAGUGAGUGGCGAACUGGUGAGUAACACGUGGGAAACCUGCCCAGAAGCGGGGGAUAACACCUGGAAACAGAUGCUAAUACCGCAUAACAACUUGGACCGCAUGGUCCGAGCUUGAAAGAUGGCUUCGGCUAUCACUUUUGGAUGGUCCCGCGGCGUAUUAGCUAGAUGGUGGGGUAACGGCUCACCAUGGCAAUGAUACGUAGCCGACCUGAGAGGGUAAUCGGCCACAUUGGGACUGAGACACGGCCCAAACUCCUACGGGAGGCAGCAGUAGGGAAUCUUCCACAAUGGACGAAAGUCUGAUGGAGCAACGCCGCGUGAGUGAAGAAGGGUUUCGGCUCGUAAAACUCUGUUGUUAAAGAAGAACAUAUCUGAGAGUAACUGUUCAGGUAUUGACGGUAUUUAACCAGAAAGCCACGGCUAACUACGUGCCAGCAGCCGCGGUAAUACGUAGGUGGCAAGCGUUGUCCGGAUUUAUUGGGCGUAAAGCGAGCGCAGGCGGUUUUUUAAGUCUGAUGUGAAAGCCUUCGGCUCAACCGAAGAAGUGCAUCGGAAACUGGGAAACUUGAGUGCAGAAGAGGACAGUGGAACUCCAUGUGUAGCGGUGAAAUGCGUAGAUAUAUGGAAGAACACCAGUGGCGAAGGCGGCUGUCUGGUCUGUAACUGACGCUGAGGCUCGAAAGUAUGGGUAGCAAACAGGAUUAGAUACCCUGGUAGUCCAUACCGUAAACGAUGAAUGCUAAGUGUUGGAGGGUUUCCGCCCUUCAGUGCUGCAGCUAACGCAUUAAGCAUUCCGCCUGGGGAGUACGGCCGCAAGGCUGAAACUCAAAGGAAUUGACGGGGGCCCGCACAAGCGGUGGAGCAUGUGGUUUAAUUCGAAGCUACGCGAAGAACCUUACCAGGUCUUGACAUACUAUGCAAAUCUAAGAGAUUAGACGUUCCCUUCGGGGACAUGGAUACAGGUGGUGCAUGGUUGUCGUCAGCUCGUGUCGUGAGAUGUUGGGUUAAGUCCCGCAACGAGCGCAACCCUUAUUAUCAGUUGCCAGCAUUAAGUUGGGCACUCUGGUGAGACUGCCGGUGACAAACCGGAGGAAGGUGGGGAUGACGUCAAAUCAUCAUGCCCCUUAUGACCUGGGCUACACACGUGCUACAAUGGAUGGUACAACGAGUUGCGAACUCGCGAGAGUAAGCUAAUCUCUUAAAGCCAUUCUCAGUUCGGAUUGUAGGCUGCAACUCGCCUACAUGAAGUCGGAAUCGCUAGUAAUCGCGGAUCAGCAUGCCGCGGUGAAUACGUUCCCGGGCCUUGUACACACCGCCCGUCACACCAUGAGAGUUUGUAACACCCAAAGUCGGUGGGGUAACCUUUUAGGAACCAGCCGCCUAAAGGUGGACCAAA